RNAcentral lists this long non-coding RNA (1322 nucleotides) under Homo sapiens (human). RNAcentral describes it as "long non-coding RNA NONHSAT176463.1". The record is from RNAcentral. Lineage: Eukaryota; Metazoa; Chordata; Mammalia; Primates; Hominidae.
AUGUAAGCAUCACUCAUGAAGUAUAGAGUGUAGUUGUGGGCACCAGUGGCUGGAGCCACAAAGUCCAACUUCACCUUGGCCUUCUGCUGCAGGAUCAGCCUCUUGAUGGAGAUGAGGCUAUUGGACUUGGUGUCUCCAAUCACCACCCACCAGCCCUCUUCACGUUUCUGCGGGAAGAGAGGCGCAAUGACAGGGCCUGUGACUUCCUCCUCUCGCUCCAGCUGCACCAGCACCACCGCUGGCCCGCCACUGCGGAUGCUGUCCUUAUCCACCACCUCCUAAGAUAGUUCGAUAUUAGGGUAGCAGUUACAAAAGCGAGCCACAUCUGUAAUCUGGCUGUCAGUCAGCUGAAGAAUUGUGUUCCGUUCUUCAUCCUCCAUCUCCAUGAUGUCGAAAACACUCUUCACUCCCUUGUCUGUGCAACGUUUGAUAUGCUCAGAGAUGAAGUGUGGCAGCUGCUUCAGGUAUGAGUCCUUGGACCACAUGGCUUGGGUGACCAUCUGGGCCAAUUCCAUAGCUGCCAGAGCAGAGCUGAGCCACCCAUUGCUGGAGAGGACAUCCACGCAGGCCUGGACGAGCCGGACUGCCUUACUAAGGAUUUCCUCCGUAUCUGACUGCAACUCAGCACUCAGCUGCAUGCGGGACAGGUGAGCCUGCAGGAGCAGGUUGGUCUUGAUGUGCGGAUCAUUGAACUUAGGGUUAUUCAGCUUGUCAGGGACCUUCUGAGCCAACUGCCUCAGGAAGUUUUCUUCAUGGUGCUGGAUGGGGAUAUUCUCGUACCCUGCUGCAUUGGAGAUGAUCUCAAUAAGCCCUCGCACCUUGGUCUUGGCGUUGAGGAAGAGGAAGAUCAAAACGUUGUGCCAGAAACUACCUCUGAAGGCUACACUUUCCAAGUUCAGGAUGGGGCUCCUGGGACCUUUAACUUUUAGAUCAUGUAGCUGAGGCAUAAAUUUGUUGUGUACUAUGUUUGGUAUUUUGUCUUAUUGUUUCUCUACUAAGAACUCUUUCUUAAAUGUGGUUUGUUAUUGUAGCACUUUUUACACUGAAACUAUACUUGAACAGUUCCAACUGUACAUACUGUAUGAAGCUUGUCCUCUGACUAGGUUUCUAAUUUCUAUGUGGAAUUUCCUAUCUUGCAGCAUCCUGUAAAUAAACAUUCAAGUCCACCCUUUUCUUGACUUCACCAUGCCUAUGUGUUGCUUUCUAAUUUGGGGUCUUUAAUGUUGCUAGUGAAAGGUAACCCGUCCAAACUGAUGGGAUUAACCAGAGGUAGUCCUGGCUGCAGUUUUUACAGAAGAAUGAAUAAAAUUUUCCAGAAACCC